RNAcentral lists this ribosomal RNA (485 nucleotides) under uncultured bacterium. RNAcentral describes it as "partial 16S ribosomal RNA". It matches the Rfam family "Bacterial small subunit ribosomal RNA", at positions 28 to 507 of the family's 1533-position model. The record is from RNAcentral.
GACGAACGCUGGCGGCGUGCUUAACACAUGCAAGUCGAACGGAAAGGCCCUGCUUUUGUGGGGUGCUCGAGUGGCGAACGGGUGAGUAACACGUGAGUAACCUGCCCUUGACUUUGGGAUAACUUCAGGAAACUGGGGCUAAUACCGGAUAGGAGCUCCUGCUGCAUGGUGGGGGUUGGAAAGUUUCGGCGGUUGGGGAUGGACUCGCGGCUUAUCAGCUUGUUGGUGGGGUAGUGGCUUACCAAGGCUUUGACGGGUAGCCGGCCUGAGAGGGUGACCGGCCACAGUGGGACUGGGAUACGGCCGAGACGCCUAAGGGAGGCAGCAGUGGGGAAUAUUGCACGAUGGGCGCAAGGCUGAAGCAGCGACGCCGCGUGAGGGAUGGAGGCCGUCGGGUUGUGAACCUCUUUCGCCAGUGAAGCAGGCCUGCCUCGUUUGUGGGUGGGUUGACGGUAGCUGGAUAAGAAGCGCCGGCUAACUACGUG